CUGUAAUGGUGUCCUUGGCUCUCAGGCUGUAAAAGAAUUGUUUUGUCUAACUAAACUAUGAAGAUAACUUGAUAACACUUCAUAUGAGGUUCUGAAUCACACAUUAAAGUGGUACAGAAUCUGAAAAAUAUGAAAGCUAAAACUUAAGACAUCAUAAGGAUGAUUUCCCAGACUGUAGGACUGAAAUUAGGUGUUCUCAAUUUCCAGGGAGGAGAUGGGUGUGAUCAAAAGGAGAAGACAGCUGAGCCAUGGAGGACCAGAAGGUCACCAAAGAGAGUGGCUGACCCUCAAAUGGUGGUGAUGCCUGCUUGUUUCCUGGCCCUAUGUGUUACCUGACUGCUGCAGACAGAUCUGAAGAUGCUGAUGUCCUCUUGACAGCGAGCACUGAGAGACACUGAGAGACACUGUAAGACUGAGAGCAAAGCCUUCAAGCUGCAGAGCACACAACCUCCCAGCAGGUGGCUUGGGCACAGCAAACCAGGCUGGGCCUUUGGGGAAAAAGAACUUAAAAUAGCUGCAAAAGAGUAUCAGACAGUUCAUUCAUGGCUUAUUGAUGCCACAGAUCUCAGUUACAUUUCGUGGUCUGAGGCAUGAGGCAAAAGAUCUUUCCCAACCCUGAGUCCUGCAUCAAUAUUUCAUGAUGGUUCAGUUUAAAGUAUUAGGAUUUUUUUGUCUUUUAU
Molecule: long non-coding RNA, 680 nt
Filed under: Cyanistes caeruleus (blue tit)
Lineage: Eukaryota; Metazoa; Chordata; Aves; Passeriformes; Paridae
Description: lncRNA (ENSCCEG00000001629.1)
Source: RNAcentral